RNAcentral lists this ribosomal RNA (253 nucleotides) under uncultured bacterium. Its description in RNAcentral is "partial 16S ribosomal RNA". It matches the Rfam family "Bacterial small subunit ribosomal RNA", at positions 524 to 776 of the family's 1533-position model. The record is from RNAcentral.
UACAGAGGGUGCGAGCGUUAAUCGGAAUUACUGGGCGUAAAGCGUGCGUAGACGAUUAUUUAAGUCGGGUGUGAAAUCCCCAGGCUUAACCUGGGAACGGCAUCCGAUACUGGAGGGCUUGAAUUCGGGAGAGGGAUGCAGAAUUCCAGGUGUAGCGGUGAAAUGCGUAGAUAUCUGGAGGAAUACCGGUGGCGAAGGCAGCCCCCUGGGAUAACACUGACGCUCAGGCACGAAAGCGUGGGGAGCAAACAGG